AAAAAAUUAAAACCUGAAUUUUCGUGCCAACGUUUAACUAUCCAGAAUUUUUUUUAUAAUUAGUAUUUUUAUCAUUGUUAAAUGAUAAAACAUGAUUAAAUACUUUAUGCGUGACUUAUCUUUUUAAUUUUUUUCAUAAUUUUUUCAAAUAAAACGGACGGUAAAACAUUGGACAUGGAAACUAAUGUUUGUCUUUUUU
RNAcentral lists this microRNA precursor (199 nucleotides) under Oryza barthii. RNAcentral describes it as "MIR812 microRNA precursor family". It matches the Rfam family "MIR812 microRNA precursor family". The record is from Rfam by way of RNAcentral. Lineage: Eukaryota; Viridiplantae; Streptophyta; Magnoliopsida; Poales; Poaceae.